Molecule: long non-coding RNA, 537 nt
Organism: Syzygium oleosum
Lineage: Eukaryota; Viridiplantae; Streptophyta; Magnoliopsida; Myrtales; Myrtaceae
Exons: 4
Source: RefSeq, a predicted model, not a curated record
UCGGAGUCGACUUUUAGUACAUCGGGACGUGUGCUUGACGGCUUUCGAAGUUCUUUGACUCCUAGAGUGGUGGAAGGUUUGAUUUGCACUCAAGAUUGAUUGAGAGCCGUUCGCGUGCCAAUUAAUGUUGAAGAGUGCAUUGAGAAUGUGGAAAAGUUUGAGUCAGAUUUGGAUUGUCUUACCGAGGACAUUAUCAUUGGUAAAUAGACUUCCUUUUGUGAAAGCUCCGAUUUUGUGGAUUUUUCUUAGAGAUUGAACCCAUUGAAGGUAACAUAGCUGGAUUCAGGCCACCUCCAAAAGUUGGAGCUUUUUGUCCUCUCGUAAGGCAGGGAAGGAUGCUGGAGCUUUUUGUCCACUUCUUUUUAAUUCUUAUGGCAUGGGACAAUUGUUUAUCAGAUUCUGAUGUGUGGAUCGGAGCCUUCGGAUUUUUGGAAACAGAAGUGAGGAGUUCUCUCGUCAUGGCGCAAAAUAAAGAGCUAAACAUGUUGAACAGAUUCCUGGAAAUGUGACUCUUAAAGAUUUAAGCGAUUAGACUAU